AGAUCCUGAAACCGUGUGCCUACAAGUAGUCAAAGCCCGUUAAUGGGUAAUGGCGUGCCUUUUGUAGAAUGAACCGGCGAGUUACGAUUUCAUGCGAGGUUAAGUUGAUGAGACGGAGCCGCAGCGAAAGCGAGUCUGAAUAGGGCGAAUGAGUAUGAGGUCGUAGACCCGAAACCAGGUGAUCUACCCAUGUCCAGGGUGAAGUUCAGGUAACACUGAAUGGAGGCCCGAACCCACGCACGUUGAAAAGUGCGGGGAUGAGGUGUGGGUAGCGGAGAAAUUCCAAUCGAACCUGGAGAUAGCUGGUUCUCUCCGAAAUAGCUUUAGGGCUAGCCUCAAGAUGAGAGUAUUGGAGGUAGAGCACUGAUUGGACUAGGGGCCCCCAACGGGUUACCGAAUUCAGUCAAACUCCGAAUGCCAAAUACUUAUUCUUGGGAGUCAGACUGCGAGUGAUAAGAUCCGUAGUCGAAAGGGAAACAGCCCAGACCACCAGCUAAGGUCCCAAAGUAUACGUUAAGUGGAAAAGGAUGUGGAGUUGCUUAGACAACCAGGAUGUUGGCUUAGAAGCAGCCACCAUUUAAAGAGUGCGUAAUAGCUCACUGGUCGAGUGACUCCGCGCCGAAAAUGUACCGGGGCUAAACGUAUCACCGAAGCUGUGGAUUGACACCGUAUGGUGUCGAUGGUAGGAGAGCGUUCUAAGGGCGUUGAAGUCAGACCGGAAGGACUGGUGGAGCGCUUAGAAGUGAGAAUGCCGGUAUGAGUAGCGAAAGAAGGGUGAGAAUCCCUUCCACCGAAUGCCUAAGGUUUCCUGAGGAAGGCUCGUCCGCUCAGGGUUAGUCGGGACCUAAGCCGAGGCCGAAAGGCGUAGGCGAUGGACAACAGGUUGAUAUUCCUGUACCACCUAUACAUCGUUUGAACGAUGGGGGGACGCAGAAGGAUAGGGUAAGCGCGCUGUUGGAUAUGCGCGUCCAAGCAGUUAGGCCGGAAACGAGGCAAAUCCCGUUUCCAUUAAGGCGGAGCUGUGAUGGCGAGGGAAAUAUAGUACCGAAGUUCCUGAUUCCACGCUGCCAAGAAAAGCCUCUAGUGAGAUGUAAGGUGCCCGUACCGCAAACCGACACAGGUAGGCGAGGAGAGAAUCCUAAGGUGUGCGAGAGAACUCUCGUUAAGGAACUCGGCAAAAUGACCCCGUAACUUCGGGAGAAGGGGUGCUUUUUAGGGUGAAUAGCCCAGAAAAGCCGCAGUGAAUAGGCCCAGGCGACUGUUUAGCAAAAACACAGGUCUCUGCGAAGCCGCAAGGCGAAGUAUAGGGGCUGACACCUGCCCGGUGCUGGAAGGUUAAGGGGAGAGGUUAGCGCAAGCGAAGCUUUGAACCGAAGCCCCAGUAAACGGCGGCCGUAACUAUAACGGUCCUAAGGUAGCGAAAUUCCUUGUCGGGUAAGUUCCGACCCGCACGAAAGGUGUAACGAUCUGGGCACUGUCUCAACGAGAGACUCGGUGAAAUUAUAGUACCUGUGAAGAUGCAGGUUACCCGCGACAGGACGGAAAGACCCCGUGGAGCUUUACUGCAGCCUGAUAUUGAAUUUUGGUACAGCUUGUACAGGAUAGGUAGGAGCCUGAGAAGCCGGAGCGCCAGCUUCGGUGGAGGCGUUGGUGGGAUACUACCCUGGCUGUAUUGAAAUUCUAACCCGCGCCCCUUAUCGGGGUGGGAGACAGUGUCAGGUGGGCAGUUUGACUGGGGCGGUCGCCUCCUAAAGAGUAACGGAGGCGCCCAAAGGUUCCCUCAGAAUGGUUGGAAAUCAUUCGUAGAGUGUAAAGGCACAAGGGAGCUUGACUGCGAGACCUACAAGUCGAGCAGGGACGAAAGUCGGGCUUAGUGAUCCGGUGGUUCCGCAUGGAAGGGCCAUCGCUCAACGGAUAAAAGCUACCCCGGGGAUAACAGGCUUAUCUCCCCCAAGAGUCCACAUCGACGGGGAGGUUUGGCACCUCGAUGUCGGCUCAUCGCAUCCUGGGGCUGUAGUCGGUCCCAAGGGUUGGGCUGUUCGCCCAUUAAAGCGGUACGCGAGCUGGGUUCAGAACGUCGUGAGACAGUUCGGUCCCUAUCCGUCGCGGGCGCAGGAAAUUUGAGAGGAGCUGUCCUUAGUACGAGAGGACCGGGAUGGACGCACCGCUGGUGUACCAGUUGUCUUGCCAAAGGCAUAGCUGGGUAGCUACGUGCGGACGGGAUAAGUGCUGAAAGCAUCUAAGCAUGAAGCCCCCCUCAAGAUGAGAUUUCCCAUGGCGCAAGCUAGUAAGAUCCCUGAAAGAUGAUCAGGUUGAUAGGU
This 2321-nucleotide ribosomal RNA is filed under the name Peribacillus frigoritolerans. Its description in RNAcentral is "[Brevibacterium] frigoritolerans partial 23S ribosomal RNA". It matches the Rfam family "Bacterial large subunit ribosomal RNA", at positions 545 to 2861 of the family's 2925-position model. The record is from RNAcentral. Lineage: Bacteria; Bacillati; Bacillota; Bacilli; Caryophanales; Bacillaceae.